This 467-nucleotide ribosomal RNA is filed under the name uncultured bacterium. RNAcentral describes it as "partial 16S ribosomal RNA". It matches the Rfam family "Bacterial small subunit ribosomal RNA", at positions 29 to 507 of the family's 1533-position model. The record is from RNAcentral.
ACGAACGCUGGCGGCGUGCUUAACACAUGCAAGUCGAACGGAAAGGCCCUGCUUUUGUGGGGUGCUCGAGUGGCGAACGGGUGAGUAACACGUGAGUAACCUGCCCUUGACUUUGGGAUAACUUCAGGAAACUGGGGCUAAUACCUGAUAGGAGCUCCUGCUGCAUGGUUGGGGUUGGAAAGUUUCGGCGGUUGGGGAUGGACUCGCGGCUUAUCAGCUUGUUGGUGGGGUAGUGGCUUACCAAGGCUUUGACGGGUAGCCGGCCUGAGAGGGUGACCGGCCACAUUGGGACUGAGAUACGGCCCAGACUCCUACGGGAGGCAGCAGUGGGGAAUAUUGCACAAUGGGCGGAAGCCUGAUGCAGCAACGCCGCGUGCGGGAUGACGGCCUUCGGGUUGUAAACCGCUUUCGCCUGUGACGAAGCGUGAGUGACGGUAAUGGGUAAAGAAGCACCGGCUAACUACGUG